Molecule: ribosomal RNA, 245 nt
Filed under: uncultured bacterium
Lineage: Bacteria
Description: partial 16S ribosomal RNA
Rfam family: Bacterial small subunit ribosomal RNA
Source: RNAcentral
UACUUAGCGGCGGACGGGUGAGUAACGCGUGGGUAACCUGCCUUACACUGGGGGAUAACAGUUAGAAAUGACUGCUAAUACCGCAUAAGCGCACAGGGCCGCAUGGUCUGGUGUGAAAAACUCCGGUGGUGUAAGAUGGACCCGCGUCUGAUUAGGUAGUUGGUGGGGUAACGGCCCACCAAGCCGACGAUCAGUAGCCGACCUGAGAGGGUGACCGGCCACACUGGGACUGAGACACGGCCCAA